Oryctolagus cuniculus (rabbit) is the source of this 6121-nucleotide non-coding RNA. Lineage: Eukaryota; Metazoa; Chordata; Mammalia; Lagomorpha; Leporidae. The record is from RefSeq and is a predicted model, not a curated record.
CAUAUGGACUAUCACUCAGAGAGAGAACAGUGCUUGCGAUGGCGCCUGCACUGCUUCUCUCCCCACGUGGAUUUGAUGGCCAGUGCUGGGCCAGGCAGAAGCCAGGAGGCAGGAGCUCCAUUCGGGACUCCGAGCGGCAGGGAGGCAGGAUCCAGAGAACCUGGGCAAUCAGCAGCUGCCUCUCUGGGUCAAAGUCUGGAGCAGCGGGACUGAAGUGGCCCUGGGGCUUCUGUCCCUUGAUGCUGAAGUGCACAGAUGCGUUCUGUAGUGCCAUGGCAACGGCCACUGGGGCCUGCGCGUGCAUCCUGCACUUUGACCCGGAAGUGCACCCUCUGGCAUGGCCGCCUCUGAGCUUGGCGCAUAGGUAGGAGUCAGCGCCUGCGUCUGCUGCUGCCCGAGAGACUGCACAAGCUAUGAGGUGAGGAGCCAUCCUCGACGCUGGUGGCCAAGCCUGAGGGAGACCCAGCAGCCCCAGGGUCAGGCCGGGAUCUGGAAAGGCUGCGUGUCCGAGGCUGCCGAGCCAUUUCCCAGGAGCGUUUCUCUUCUUCGGCCCCUUCCGGAAGCAACGGCUUUGGCAGGCCUCUAUCCCGCCUGCAGACUGGGCCCCCUUGGAGACUACACACACGGAGGAGAAAGCAGAAGCUUAGAGAAACACCAAGAAUCCCUCUGUGUUCUGUUCCAGCCUGUCCAAGGUUCUGACACCUCAUAUUUCUUGGUGUCCAGCGUUGUGGCGUUCUUCCUCGGAUGCUGUGUAGAGCCCCAGCGCUGGACUUGGAACAAGGAGGUGAGCUCCAUGAUGAGCAACACCUGCAGGAAGGCUGGGCCGCUGGUGUCUGAGGAGUGGUAGUGGAUUCACCGGGCCUCUGAAUCAGGUUCAUCCAUCCUCGCCUGAAUGUGGUGAAUUAAGUCUCUGUUCCUACUGGUCAGCAGUAACUAGUGUUGACCUUGAAGAGUCAUUCGUCUGGCUUCAUUUCCCCUGGGAUUGCUAUUGUGGUGACUCCUCCUCAUCCUCCAGGUCUCAGCUCAAGGGCUGGCUCUGAGGAGGCCACCUGUGACCCCACUCCAGGCACAUUGCUGUGGCUGCUGGAGAGGAUGUGUCCACUGGCCUGAGCUCGGCAUGAGGUCCCCCGUAGCACUUGACCCCAGGCCACAUGGCAGCUGCAGAGACUCCCACUCCUGGAGUACACAGUGUGGGUGAACAUGAGCGACCACAUUUCCCGGUGGUUGAGAGUUUGGUAGCUGGGGGAGAUGUUCGUGGAAGGAUGAGUUUCAAAGCCUCAUGUUCCUCUUCUGUUAAAAUGGAAUCCUCUCUGAAGAUUAUCUAUUUUAUCAUCUUAAAAAGAAAACGUUUCUUAGCUGGAGCACAUCGGAGAUCAACACAGUCUUAGCCCGGAGCCAAGACUGCUGUCACCCAUGUUUUUGACGCUGCCUGGCCGCUUCUGGUGCUGCUGUGCUUACUGGGAGGAAGAGGCAGGUCCUAGAUGGCUGGCGCUUGCGCAGUCGGCCUGGUGGAGAGCAAGACGGUAUUAUCUGCUGGUGGCGGCAUGUCAGUCGGCAGCCGGAAUUCUCCGCUGAUGGCGGCGUUUUCGGCAGCGGUACUGGCCCAGAGAGUGCGGGAGUGAAGACAUUUUCAUCGAUAUGAAAUUGGACACUGAGUUGACAAGGAAGUUCAGCUGCUGGGUAAUCUUCCAUUUCUGGAACCUCCUUGGCUUCCUGGUAAAACCCAGCUGUGCCUUCACCCUGGACAGGAGCAACUGACGUUUUCAUGGAUAUGAAAUUGGACACUGAGUUGACAAGGAAGUUCAGCUGCUGGGUAAUCUUCCAUUUCUGGAACCUCCUUGGCUUCCUGGUAAAACCCAGCUGUGCCUUCACCCUGGACAGGAGCAACUGGGCACUGAUGUGAAACUAACCCAGAGUGGACGGUGAAGCGCAACUGCCGGGUGUUCUUCCAGUUCUGGAGACUGCACAGCUUCCUGCUCAAUGCCAGCUGGACCUUCUUCCUAGAGAGAAGCAACUGGCAGCUCUGUGUGAAAGCUUCUGCUUUCAUGGAGUUUUUGUUCCGAUUGCUGUUUGGGGGCUGGGGAUGACUUAGUCCUGCAGGACUUUACCAGGUAGGAGUUCUUGAAAUAUCUUCCCCUUAUGUUGGAAUGUAUACUUUGUAGUACUUCCUAUUCCUCAUUUGAUUUUUCCAUCUCUGAUAUUUCCUUUGCUUUUAUGAUCCAUUGAACCAUGUGUUUUUGUUUCACACUGUCACUUUUAUUAGGAAUGCAAAUUCUUCCUUAGGUUUUACUUUAUAGGAUGUGUCAUUCUUUACAAUGCAGUGUUAUUUUUGAGUCACACUUAUUCUGAAUUAUAUAGCCUUUAUACUCUUACUUUUUAGGUUAUUUCUACAGAAGAUUUGCAAGCUUACAUUUUUAUGAAAGUCAGGAUUUUCCAUGUACAGAAUUUUAUGAAUGUGCAAAUUUUAUAUAUUUAAUUUUCCUGAAAUGUGAGUGCUUACCCAUUUUAUAUAAAUUUCUAUUAAAGAUUGAUGUUGUCUCCAGUGGAUGUAUUUGUUUUUUUAUUUUUUUAUUUUUGACAGGCAGAGUGGACAGUGAGAGAGAGAGACAGAGAGAAAGGUCUUUCUUUUGCUGUUGGUUCACCCUCCAAUGGCCGCUGCAGCUGGCGUGCUGCAGCCGGCGCAUCACGCUGCUCUGAAGGCAGGAGCCAGGUGCUUCUCCUGGUCUCCCAUGGGGUGCAGGGUCCAAGGACUUGGGCCAUCCUCCACUCACUCCUGGGCCAUAGCAGAGAACUGGCCUGGAACAGGGGCAACUGGGACAGAAUCUGGCGACCCAACCUGGUACAAGAACCCGGUGUGCCGGCACCUCAAGGUGGAGGAUUAGCCGAUUGAAUCACGGCGCCGGCUUGUAUUUGUUUUUUAGGCUAAAAUAAUUCUUGGGUAUAUUUUAUAGAACAAUUCUAAGAAUAAACGACAUUCCUUUUUUUUUUUUUUGACAGAGUGGACAGUGAGAGAGAGAGAGAGAAAGAUCUUCCUUUGCCUGGUUCACCCUCCAAUGGCCGCCGCAGCCAGUGCACUGCGGCUGGCGCAUUGCGCUGAUCCGAAGGUAGGAGCCAGGUGCUUCUCCUGGUCUCCCAUGGGUUGCAAGGUCCAAGCACUUGGGCCAUCCUCCACUGCCCUCCUGGGCCAUAGCAGAGAGCUGGCCUGGAAGAGGGGCAACUGGGACAGAAUCUAGCACCCCGACCAGGACUAGAACCCAGUGUGCGGGUGCCCCUAGGCAGAGGAUUAGCCUGUUGAACCACGACGCCGGCUGACAUUCCCUUUUCUGCUCUCCUUUCAACACUGUCUUUCCCAGUGUACCUCUUCCUUUCUUUCUCCCUUUGUUCCUCCCUUCCUUACUUCCUUUCUUUCAUCCAUUUUUGGAUGGUUUUUAUAUUUGCAUUUUAGUAAAAGGCUAAGUGCUUUACCAAAUAAGAAGUUCAGUAACCAAAAAGUAGGGGUGAGGCAAUAUUUGGCAUCCCAUACAGGUGCUGGUUCAAAUCUCAUUUACUCCACUUCUUUUUUUUUCAAGAUCUAUUUAUUUAUUUCAAAGACAGUGUUAUAGAGAGGCAGAGGUAGAGAGAGCGAGUAAGAGGUCUUCCAUCCACUGGGUCACUCCCUGGAAGGCCACAGCUAGCGGAGGUGCACUGAUCCAAAGUCAGGGGCCAGGAGCUUGCUCAGGGUCUUCCUACACAGUUGUAGGGGCCCAAGGACUUGGGCCAUCUUCUACUGUUUUCCCAGGCUAUAGCAGAGAGAUGGAUCAGAAGUUGAAAAGCUUGGACUUGAACUGGCACCCAUAUGGGAUGCCGGCACUGCAGGAGGUGGCCUUACUCAUUAUGCCACAGCACCGGUCUCUACUCCAUUUCUGAUCCAGCUCCAUGCUAAAGCACCAAAGCAUCAGAGGACAGCCCAAGUGCUUGUGACUUAGGAGCCAUGUGGGACACCUGGAAAAAGCUCCUGGCUCCUGUCAUCAUCUUGGUCCAGUCCUGGCUGUCUUGGCCAUUUGAGAAGUGAACCAGCAGAUGGAAGAUCUCUCCCUCUUUCUCUCUCUCUGUAUGUAACAGUGUCUUUGUAAUAAACAAAGUAAAUCUCAUAAAAUUAAGGGAAGAACAGAAACCCUAGUUUAUAGGGAAUAUAAGCAACAAGUAUAAUCAGUUGAAUGGAAAAAUGACCAUUUUUCCCAUACACCCUAAAUUUAAAGUAAUCACAGAUCAUUACAACUAUACUAAUGCUACAUUCUUUUUUCUUUUCAAAAUUUUUUUAAGAUUUACUUUUACUUACUUAAAAGACAGAAUUACUGAAAGAGGUGUAGAGGUAGAGAGAGUGGUCUUCCCUCUGCUGGUUCAUUCCCCAAAUGGCCACAAUGGCUAUAAAUGAGCCAAUCCAAAGUUAUGAACCAGGAGCUUCUUCCGGGUCUCCCACGUGGGUUCAGGGCCCCAGGACUUGGGCCAUCUUCUACUGCUUUCCCAGGCCAUAACAGAGAGCUAGAUCAGAAGAGGAGCAUUGGGGUCUAGAACCUGUGCCCAUGUGGGAUGCUCACCUUUCAAGCCUGGGAUUUAACACACUGCCACACAGCCCCUACCCCUUCAAUUGUUUUUAAAAUGAAUGAAAAGAGAACAUAUUUCAUGAAUUGUGUAGGUACAGUUCUAAGAAUAAACCCAGAAUUUCCUCUCUUCCCCUUUCCCCUCCUUCCUUUCCUCUUUUCAUCUAUUUUUCAUGAUAUGAUUAUAAUCCAUGUAAUAUUCAGGGUAACAAUAAUAUUCAUAGGAAAAAGGUACAAAGAAUAAAGUUCUACUGGAGCAGUAUGAUCUUUUAUUUUAGGACAUUAAAUUUAAAAAAAAAACAACAUUAGUUUUCUUGAGAGGCAUUGUUACAGAGAGAGGAAGACAUAGAGUUAGAGGUCUUCCAUCCAUAUGUGCUCAUUCUACAAAUGGCCACAAUGUCUGGAGGUGGGCCAGUCCAAAGGCAGCAACCAAGAGUUUUUUGCAUCUUUCCCACUAUGUUGCAGGGGCCCAAGCCUUUGGGCCAUCUUCCACUGUUUUCUCAGGUCAUCAGCAAGGAAGUGUAUUGGAAGUGGAGCAGCUGGACUUGAACUGGUGCCCAUAUGGGAUGCCGGCACUACAAUGGAUGCUUAACCUACUAUGCCAUAAUUCCAGCCCCAGUAUUCUGUUCUUAACCAUUGUUUUGUCCAGUUUUCAAACAAAGUUUUAUAGGAGUAUAUUUGCGGCAGUAGUGAUACACAUUCACAUUUAUAUUUCUUUUUUUGUGUUUUGAUUUUUUUCAAAAAGUUAACUUUCACAUGUAAGGUAAUACAUGUGGUAUUUUUCUUUUUCUGGCUGAUUUCUCUAAGAUGAAGUCCUCCAGUAACUCCAUUUUGAUGCACUUGAUAAAAUUUCAUUAUGUUUAAGUCCUGAAAUACAUUUCAUUGUAGAUCUAUACCAUGUUUUCCUUAUGCAUUCAUCUGAUGAUAGAAAUCUUUGUUUAAUCUUUAUAAAUAAAUCCAUGUUUAUUCCUUGUGAUUGCUGUGAACCAUAUUGCAAUCCACAUGGUGGUGGAGGUAUCUCUUUGAUAGAAUAAUGUUCAUUUCUUUUGGGUGUAGACCCAGUGGUGGGAUUGCUGAAGCAUAUGGCUGGUUUGUUUCUGUUUUUUAAAGAUCUGUUUAUUAGAGAGGCAGAGUUACAGACAGAGGGAGAGACAGAUAGAAAGGUCCUUCAUCAGCUGGUUCACACCUGAAAUGGCUGUAGUGGCCCAAGCUGCGCCAGGCCAAACUUGGGAGCCAGGAGUCCCUACCCAUGUACCCACGGUUCUGCAUGGGCAUGCAGAUGUCCAAGCUCUUGGACCAUCCUCCACUCCUUUAUGCAGGCCAUCAGCAGGGAGCUGAAUUGGAAGUGGGGCAGUUGAGACUUGAACCGAUGAAUAUAUGGGGUGCUUGUGCUGCAGGUGAAGGUUUAGGCUGCUAUCCACAGUGCCAGCCCCUCCUUUCCUUUUCUGUAGUGUCUUCUUCCAGUGUAAACUGAAAUAGUAAAGCUUUAUAUUUAUACGUGCCAUCAACACUUAGGCAAAGCAAAGUAUGGGCUGGGGAUA